AGAGUUUGAUCAUGGCUCAGAGCGAACGCUGGCGGCAGGCCUAACACAUGCAAGCCGAACGAACCCUUCGGGGUUAGUGGCGGACGGGUGAGUAACACGUGGGAACGUACCUUUAGGUUCGGAACAACACAGGGAAACUUGUGCUAAUGCCGAAUGUGCCCUUCGGGGGAAAGAUUUAUCGCCUUUAGAGCGGCCCGCGUCUGAUUAGCUUGUUGGUGAGGUAAAGGCUCACCAAGGCUUCGAUCAGUAGCUGGUCUGAGAGGAUGAUCAGCCACACUGGGACUGAGACACGGCCCAGACUCCUACGGGAGGCAGCAGUGGGGAAUCUUGCGCAAUGGGCGAAAGCCUGACGCAGCCAUGCCGCGUGAAUGAUGAAGGUCUUAGGAUUGUAAAAUUCUUUCACCGGGGAAGAUAAUGACGGUACCCGGAGAAGAAGCCCCGGCUAACUUCGUG
Molecule: ribosomal RNA, 453 nt
Filed under: uncultured bacterium
Lineage: Bacteria
Description: bacterial SSU rRNA
Rfam family: Bacterial small subunit ribosomal RNA
Source: RNAcentral